UACCCCGUAGUGUAACGGUAACACAGCGCCCUUUGGAGGCGUUAUUCUUGGUUCGAAUCCAAGCGGGGUAGCCA
RNAcentral lists this transfer RNA (74 nucleotides) under Verrucomicrobiota bacterium. RNAcentral's name for it is "Verrucomicrobia bacterium tRNA-Gln". It matches the Rfam family "tRNA". From Rfam's summary of the family: Transfer RNA (tRNA) molecules are approximately 80 nucleotides in length. Their secondary structure includes four short double-helical elements and three loops (D, anti-codon, and T loops). Further hydrogen bonds mediate the characteristic L-shaped molecular structure. tRNAs have two regions of fundamental functional importance: the anti-codon, which is responsible for specific mRNA codon recognition, and the 3' end, to which the tRNAs corresponding amino acid is attached (by aminoacyl-tRNA synthetases). tRNAs cope with the degeneracy of the genetic code in two manners: having more than one tRNA (with a specific anti-codon) for a particular amino acid; and 'wobble' base-pairing, i.e. permitting non-standard base-pairing at the 3rd anti-codon position. The record is from RNAcentral. Lineage: Bacteria; Pseudomonadati; Verrucomicrobiota. RNAcentral also lists the same sequence under 2 other names.